RNAcentral lists this ribosomal RNA (664 nucleotides) under uncultured bacterium. Its description in RNAcentral is "bacterial SSU rRNA". It matches the Rfam family "Bacterial small subunit ribosomal RNA", at positions 735 to 1397 of the family's 1533-position model. The record is from RNAcentral.
UGACACUGACACUGAGGUGCGAAAGCGUGGGUAGCAAACAGGAUUAGAUACCCUGGUAGUCCCACGCCGUAAACGAUGUCGACCAGCCGUUGGGUGCCUAGCGCACUUUGUGGCGAAGUUAACGCGAUAAGUCGACCGCCUGGGGAGUACGGCCGCAAGGUUAAAACUCAAAUGAAUUGAUGGGGGCCCGCACAAGCGGUGGAGCAUGUGGUUGAAUUCGAUGCAACGCGAAGAACCUUACCUACUCUUGACAUCCUGCGAACUUGUGAGAGAUCACUUGGUGCCUUCGGGAGCGCAGAGACAGGUGCUGCAUGGCUGUCGUCAGCUCGUGUUGUGAAAUGUUGGGUUAAGUCCCGUAACGAGCGCAACCCUUGUCCUUAUUUGCCAGCGGGUAAUGCCGGGAACUCUAAGGAGACUGCCGGUGACAAACCGGAGGAAGGUGGGGACGACGUCAAGUCAUCAUGGCCCUUACGAGUAGGGCUACACACGUGCUACAAUGGCCGGUACAAAGGGUUGCGAGCUCGCGAGAGUCAGCUAAUCCCGAAAAGCCGGUCUCAGUCCGGAUCGGAGUCUGCAACUCGACUCCGUGAAGUCGGAAUCGCUAGUAAUCGUGAAUCAGAAUGUCACGGUGAAUACGUUCCCGGGCCUUGUACACACCGCCCGU